RNAcentral lists this ribosomal RNA (2208 nucleotides) under Klebsiella pneumoniae. RNAcentral's name for it is "23S ribosomal RNA". It matches the Rfam family "Bacterial large subunit ribosomal RNA", at positions 1 to 2238 of the family's 2925-position model. The record is from RNAcentral. Lineage: Bacteria; Pseudomonadati; Pseudomonadota; Gammaproteobacteria; Enterobacterales; Enterobacteriaceae.
UUAAGCGACUAAGCGUACACGGUGGAUGCCCUGGCAGUCAGAGGCGAUGAAGGACGUGCUAAUCUGCGAAAAGCGUCGGUAAGGUGAUAUGAACCGUUAUAACCGGCGAUGUCCGAAUGGGGAAACCCAGUGCAAUUCGUUGCACUAUCGUUAACUGAAUACAUAGGUUAACGAGGCGAACCGGGGGAACUGAAACAUCUAAGUACCCCGAGGAAAAGAAAUCAACCGAGAUUCCCCCAGUAGCGGCGAGCGAACGGGGAGCAGCCCAGAGUCUGAAUCAGCUUGUGUGUUAGUGGAACGGUCUGGAAAGUCCGACGGUACAGGGUGAUAGUCCCGUACACCAAAAUGCACAGGNUGUGAACUCGAAGAGUAGGGCGGGACACGUGGUAUCCUGUCUGAAUAUGGGGGGACCAUCCUCCAAGGCUAAAUACUCCUGACUGACCGAUAGUGAACCAGUACCGUGAGGGAAAGGCGAAAAGAACCCCGGCGAGGGGAGUGAAAAAGAACCUGAAACCGUGUACGUACAAGCAGUGGGAGCACCUUCGGGUGUGACUGCGUACCUUUUGUAUAAUGGGUCAGCGACUUAUAUUCUGUAGCAAGGUUAACCGUAUAGGGGAGCCGCAGGGAAACCGAGUCUUAACUGGGCGUUAAGUUGCAGGGUAUAGACCCGAAACCCGGUGAUCUAGCCAUGGGCAGGUUGAAGGUUGGGUAACACUAACUGGAGGACCGAACCGACUAAUGUUGAAAAAUUAGCGGAUGACUUGUGGCUGGGGGUGAAAGGCCAAUCAAACCGGGAGAUAGCUGGUUCUCCCCGAAAGCUAUUUAGGUAGCGCCUCGUGAAUUCAUCUUCGGGGGUAGAGCACUGUUUCGGCUAGGGGGUCAUCCCGACUUACCAACCCGAUGCAAACUACGAAUACCGAAGAAUGUUAUCACGGGAGACACACGGCGGGUGCUAACGUCCGUCGUGAAGAGGGAAACAACCCAGACCGCCAGCUAAGGUCCCAAAGUCAUGGUUAAGUGGGAAACGAUGUGGGAAGGCACAGACAGCCAGGAUGUUGGCUUAGAAGCAGCCAUCAUUUAAAGAAAGCGUAAUAGCUCACUGGUCGAGUCGGCCUGCGCGGAAGAUGUAACGGGGCUAAACCAUGCACCGAAGCUGCGGCAGCGACACUAUGUGUUGUUGGGUAGGGGAGCGUUCUGUAAGCCUGCGAAGGUGACCUGUGAGGGUUGCUGGAGGUAUCAGAAGUGCGAAUGCUGACAUAAGUAACGAUAAAGCGGGUGAAAAGCCCGCUCGCCGGAAGACCAAGGGUUCCUGUCCAACGUUAAUCGGGGCAGGGUGAGUCGACCCCUAAGGCGAGGCCGAAAGGCGUAGUCGAUGGGAAACAGGUUAAUAUUCCUGUACUUGGUGUUACUGCGAAGGGGGGACGGAGAAGGCUAUGUUAGCCGGGCGACGGUUGUCCCGGUUUAAGCAUGUAGGCUGNNNNUCCAGGCAAAUCCGGAUAAUCAAGGCUGAGGUGUGAUGACGAGGCACUACGGUGCUGAAGUAACAAAUGCCCUGCUUCCAGGAAAAGCCUCUAAGCAUCAGGUAACAUCAAAUCGUACCCCAAACCGACACAGGUGGUCAGGUAGAGAAUACCAAGGCGCUUGAGAGAACUCGGGUGAAGGAACUAGGCAAAAUGGUGCCGUAACUUCGGGAGAAGGCACGCUGGUGUGUAGGUGAAGUCCCUGCGGAUGGAGCUGAGACCAGUCGAAGAUACCAGCUGGCUGCAACUGUUUAUUAAAAACACAGCACUGUGCAAACACGAAAGUGGACGUAUACGGUGUGACGCCUGCCCGGUGCCGGAAGGUUAAUUGAUGGGGUUAUCCGUAAGGAGAAGCUCUUGAUCGAAGCCCCGGUAAACGGCGGCCGUAACUAUAACGGUCCUAAGGUAGCGAAAUUCCUUGUCGGGUAAGUUCCGACCUGCACGAAUGGCGUAAUGAUGGCCAGGCUGUCUCCACCCGAGACUCAGUGAAAUUGAACUCGCUGUGAAGAUGCAGUGUACCCGCGGCAAGACGGAAAGACCCCGUGAACCUUUACUAUAGCUUGACACUGAACAUUGAGCCUUGAUGUGUAGGAUAGGUGGGAGGCUUUGAAGCGUGGACGCCAGUCUGCGUGGAGCCAACCUUGAAAUACCACCCUUUAAUGUUUGAUGUUCUAACGUUGGCCCCUUA